GUGAAGACUACCAUGAUCCCCACACCGAGAAGACAAAUACUCUUAGUUCAAGAUUUUCCGAAAGCAUCCCAGAGAUGUGGGUUCAAGUAACAGAUCAGUUAUCUGGGAGGUGCAGAAAGUCCCUGUAGAGGAGGAGAAAUGUGAGUUCCGGAUGGGAAAGUGGCCAACAGAGGAUGUUUUCUAGAGACAGCUGUCACUGAAGGCAAACAGAGCUCAGUUGCUUGGGGAAAAUUCUAAGGAAUGGGAGAGAUUUUGGAAGUAUUAGAGAAGGCCCUGAGGCUAUGGACCGAGGACCUCAUGGGGAGACAGAUGGAGGAAGCUGCAAGGUGACUGGACUCUCCCUGACUUUGACCUCAACUACCAGUCUUGUCAAAGCCUGAUGUCACUUAUGCAAAAGACUUGGAAACUUGCUGAGGAUUUGCUCAGGAAAUCACUCCUGACAAUGAAGGAGGGCGACCCUAGAUCAUCAAAACAGAAGAAUCUAUUCAAAAUGAAGCUUUUGCUGCCUUCAGUCCCUAACAGAUGACCUACAUAUGGACACCUGAGAUCUGCUAUUUAGAAACUAAUCUGCAACUCAAAACACCUAUGAUUUAUUGAGCCUUUUAAUGUAGUAACCACUGUGCUAUGUACUUUACCUAUAGUCCCUCAUGUAAUUUUCCCAAGAACCUGGUAAGUACUAUAAUUAUCUCCAUUUUACAGAUGGAAAAACUGACUUUUACCCACCCAAGGUCAUACCUGAGUGACAGAUAAACAUAAACUUAGCACCAGGUUCACUGGGCUCCAAGCCCUUGGUCUUAUCCAUUGCGCCCUUCCUUGCUUUUUCCUUGUUCAGUUUUUCUUUCCUGAAGGCAACCAGAUAGGUGAUGAUCUGGAGCCAACAUACAGAAGAACAAGGAACCUGAUUGUAUUUUCACACAAAUGGCCAGACUUGGCUUCUAAUACAGGAUACACUUGGGGUUUGUGACCAGAAAAGGAAAGCUUUCUCUUGUUUGCUGAUUGGUGGCGUUCAAGAACUAUACCCUUUUUUCUAGAUGCAGCAACAUGACUAUGUUUAUUAUCAAAUGAUCUUGCUGAUUAUGUAAAUUGCUUAAGCUUUCAAACACUGAUU
Molecule: non-coding RNA, 1108 nt
Organism: Heterocephalus glaber (naked mole-rat)
Lineage: Eukaryota; Metazoa; Chordata; Mammalia; Rodentia; Bathyergidae
Source: RefSeq, a predicted model, not a curated record